CAGUUACGGUUCAUUGGAUAUUGUUUUUUUUACAUGGAUAACUGUGGUAAAUCUAGAGCUAAUACAUGCACAAAAGCUUUAACCUGUUUGAGGAAAAAGCGCAUUUAUUAGACCAAGACCAAUGGUCCUUGUGACCCCAACCCUUGGUGACUCCGAAUAACUGAGCUAAUCGCAUGGCCUAUGCGCCGGCGAUAUAUCCUUCAAGCGUCUGCCUUAUCAACUGUA
Molecule: ribosomal RNA, 225 nt
Filed under: Demodex canis (dog follicle mite)
Lineage: Eukaryota; Metazoa; Arthropoda; Arachnida; Trombidiformes; Demodicidae
Description: partial 18S ribosomal RNA
Rfam family: Eukaryotic small subunit ribosomal RNA
Source: RNAcentral